Molecule: long non-coding RNA, 2619 nt
Organism: Hermetia illucens (black soldier fly)
Lineage: Eukaryota; Metazoa; Arthropoda; Insecta; Diptera; Stratiomyidae
Exons: 4
Source: RefSeq, a predicted model, not a curated record
UGUCAGAGCUGCAUUUCGUCUGGAUACGAUCGCACUUGUGGAGAUCCUUAGACGUCCUUUUCAUACCCAAAGUGGACGGGUGUAGCCAUGAGCCCGCGAAAGGCUUUUCAUCAAUCACCCUCACCUCUUGCAUGUUGAAGACAAGAGAGCAUCACUUAGGCAAGGUGCAAAUUGAGACGCAGCUUGGUGAGGUGACAUGACGCAGCUUCAGAGCGUCUGCGAGCUGCCACGGUUUGUGUUCAUUUUGGCAGUUUUCACUAGGGACUACUUCCUGCGCUGAGUGAAAGUAAGCAUCCCGUACAGUGGCGAUAGAACUGCGCCUAAACUGUCGCUCUACCCGCUCGCAGAGGACUUCAUCUCUUGGUUCCUGCGUUACACUGUGCUCGGUCUUAAGGAGGAUCAUGGAGAGGUUGCCUUUCUACAAAUCUCAGGGCACCUAGUCUUCAAAAGCAAAUACACAGAAACCACUCUUCACAAUUUAUUAAUUAGCCUGCAGCAUAUACAUUAGUUCCCUUCCUGGAUAUAGGGGGAACAUUUAACAGCGUGAAUACCAAAGCCAUCAAGGAGGCUGUAACCACAAUAGGAUUGGAGGGGUGCUUGGUCCUUUGAAGUGUUUCGUAUUUUGAAACUAGCGAAUAAGUUUUGUGCAGCAUAGUAUUGUGUGGCACCUUCAAUUUUUCAAAUUUCGUGGGGUCUCCUGUAUGUUGAGAUCUGUGAAGGAAUUAGCCAUGAGAUUGACAUCGAAGUGCAACGACCAACACAUUAUCGUAUUUGCCGUGCAUAAGGUGCAGUAGACAUUGAGGUGGAACGAGUUAAUAUAUAUUGGAAUUUUGUGGAGCUUUUUAUGUGCCAUCGUUUUGUACAUCGUGUACGUAGGGCGACAUCGUAUUCGAGUUUCUUCGAGGAUUUACUACGAUCGAAUAUAUAGGAAUUUGCUGGUAUUUUUUUUGCAUCGUAUACCUGUGAUCGAUGUCAAGUUCGAGGAUAAUCAGGUGCUGUGUUUUUGCUGUGGUCCAGGUCGCACACAAACAAGUUAAUUUUGGGGAAUGUUCACCAGAACUGUCGGGCAAGAGUUCGAACAGCUACUGAUUUCCAGGCGGCAAGGGAUGUCGUCAACUUUUCUUUGGAGACAGCGAUGAUUUGAGGUUUUCGCUGUAUAUCUGCGGGUCGAGAAUGACGGUGCGCUCGUAUUCGAUUUCUUCCCCCUGUUUCACUUCAAAAAGGAAAACACGCACACAUCGAAAUUCCACGUCUACGCUCGGUUGCGGAAAAUUCGGCCGCACUGGGGACUUUCUCUAACAUAAUCGUCAAUUACAAUCAGUUACUUUUAUUUAUUUUCGAUUCCUUGUCGGGGUCACCACUAGUUGGUUUAGAUUUUUUAGAAUAAAUAAUUAUCCAUCAAAUCAGAGUAUUUCAUUACAUAAAUGUUAAUCAGAACGAUCAAUGUUGCAGAAAAGACAAUAAGAACAACAUAAUGAACCAAAAGAUAAAUUUAAACUUUUUAUAAGCUCCCCCUCUCUGUCCUGACGCAUUCCUAAUUAACACAACAAAAAUAAUUUUCGUUGUCCUCCGGGCAAGGAGAAACAAUACCAGUGACAAGAUGUAAUCCUGCUAAACUCGGCUUUGAACCUUAAAUUCCUCUCAAAUUUGACCUCGGUACAGCACCUGACAUCAUAUGCAAAUCUGAUGAUAUCUAUGAGUUUCUUCUGAAUGCUCCUCCUACGUAAGACAGAUACCAUCCCCGUGCACACUAUCGAAAGCCUUCACGAAAUCGAUGAAGAGCAGAUGAAGCGAAAAUCUAAAGUCCGUGUACUGUUCUAGGGUGUUAAUAUGACCAAUGCAGAAGGAUCCGGAACGGAAACCAGCCUGCUCUCAAACUUUCAGAUGUUGUUUGAUGCGUUCCAGGAUUAUUUUAGCUAUCUUUGCGACGGAAGAAAGCGCGCAGAUAUCUCUGCAAUUAUUACACUCAAAAUCGGAAUCAUUCAUUCGAAUCGUACCGAUAAUUCCCUUCUUCCAAUCUCCGAGAAAGGUCUCGGAUUCCAAAGACUUCCGUACAAGUGGAAGCAGCAGACCUGCUGGUACAGAGAUAAUUGACUCUGCGGCGAGACGGUCAGUUCUAGCGGCUUUACUCCAUUUGAGUGCAUUGAUAGCAGAAAUAGUUUUCUUCUACUCGGAGGAACAGUCCGUAUCUGCAUUACGGUGGCUAGCCAUUUCACCCGCAAGAGGAGGAAACUCACCGGAUAUAAUAAAAACCGUGGUGAAGUGUUUUUUUCACCUCUUUAGUUGCUCGUCAUCGUGAAUGAGAAGUCGACCGUUAACGUCAUUCACCGGGCCAUCGAAAGAUUUGCGGCCACCUGCAAGCUCUUUCAUGAUGCGGUAUACCCUUCUAAACUCAUUGCGUUUUGCGGCAUCCUCCGCUUCCCUGACCAGCGCAAAAUUUGCUUUUGUCACGGCACACGCUACACUGAACUUCCCAAGACUUCGUUUGGUAACGGACUUCGGGCGCUUCACAACCUUUAUCAGUUGCAGCAGUCUACGAUUCGGCAGUCAGCCAGAUCUUAUGAGGCUCCUUCGGGACAUGGGCCGUGUAGCACCCGAGAAAAGAACAUUUUUGAUGGC